CCUACGGGGGGCAGCAGUGAGGAAUAUUGGUCAAUGGGCGGGAGCCUGAACCAGCCAAGUCGCGUGAAGGAGGAAGGUACAGAGUAUUGUAAACCUCUUUUGUCGGGGAACAAAGGCGGGGACGCGUCUCCGGAUGAGUGUACCUGAAGAAAAAGCAUCGGCUAACUCAGUGCCAGCAGCCGCGGUAAUACGGAGGAUGCGAGCGUUAUCCGGAUUUAUUGGGUUUAAAGGGUGCGCAGGCGGGUGGUUAAGUCAGCGGUAAAAUGUCGGGGCGCAACCCCGGCCGGCCGUUGAAACUGGUUGUCUAGAGUUGGAGAGAAGUAUGCGGAAGUCGUGGUGUAGCGGUGAAAUGCAUAGAUAUCACGAAGAACUCCGAUUGCGAAGGCAGCAUGCCGGCUCCAUACUGACGCUGAGGCACGAAAGCGUGGGGAUCGAACAGGAUUAGAUACCCUAGUAGUC
RNAcentral lists this ribosomal RNA (459 nucleotides) under uncultured bacterium. RNAcentral describes it as "partial 16S ribosomal RNA". It matches the Rfam family "Bacterial small subunit ribosomal RNA", at positions 338 to 795 of the family's 1533-position model. The record is from RNAcentral.